ACAAUGCAAACCCAAUAAACAAAACCGAAGCCCAUAUAUCCCAAGACAGCAAAACCCAAUUUGAUUAAAAUUUUUAUUAUAUUUUAAUAUUUUGUAAAAGAAAUUAAAAGGAAAAGACAUACUUAGAAUAGACCAAAAAAAUGACCAACGUUUACUCGAGAAAAAAAAAAUCGAUGGCUGGUACAACAAAUCGAGAAAAUUGUCGAUUUCUCUCCGAGCCAAUUCAAGAUGGAUUCAGAUGAUCAAUUUUUAUUUUAUUUUCCGAUCAUGUAAUCGAAUCUACAAGAUGGCCGGUGAACAUGCUCCGAUUUGAAACAUGUUUCUUCUAAAUCCCUAGGUGAUUACUGCCACGGAUAUACAUAUUAACUCACGUACCGGCACUAAUGGCUUAUCUCCCAAGAGCAGACAAAGGAUCCUCAAUUGAAACACGCCAUGCAAACUUGCAAGGUAAAACAUCUCUAUAAGUAUGCAAAAGAAAUAUCUUGCUAGAUAAAAAUUUAGAGGGCUCGUUUAUAAUGAGGAAAAUUGUGGCUGUGGGAAUUGUUGGGUAGGAGAUGGUUAUUUAUAGAGGAGAUUCUUAGGCUAAGGUUUUGGUAGCGUCGGUUUCAGGAUAUAUUGGAGAGCAAGCCGAAAAAUCAUAGAUACGAAUCAAAAAUUAGAAUGAUCCAUGCAUGUUUAAGGGAAGAUUCGAAAUCAUUAUAUAACAAAAACAAUAUUCUUGUUAAUAGAAUGUUCUAGAUGUUUUGGUUUAGGCAAUAUUCUGAUAUUUGAAUAUCUUGAGAAUAUGCUUGUUGUUAGUUUACAAAUCUAAACAAAAUUAAAGCGCAAUUGUUAAUGUGGUUUCCAUUUUUGUAG
Long non-coding RNA from Arabidopsis lyrata subsp. lyrata, 855 nucleotides. RefSeq lists it as uncharacterized. NCBI's taxonomy places the organism in Eukaryota, Viridiplantae, Streptophyta, Magnoliopsida, Brassicales, Brassicaceae. The record is from RefSeq and is a predicted model, not a curated record. The transcript is spliced from 3 exons.